This is a long non-coding RNA of Hyaena hyaena (striped hyena), 81 nucleotides long. RefSeq lists it as uncharacterized. The transcript has 3 exons. The record is from RefSeq and is a predicted model, not a curated record. Lineage: Eukaryota; Metazoa; Chordata; Mammalia; Carnivora; Hyaenidae.
ACUGCAUCUGGGCCAGCUGGGAGCCGUAGCGCGCCUCGGUCUCCGCCAGGGUGGAUUCCAGGGAAGCAUCUCUCAGGCUGU